CAAUAGCGUAUAUUAAAGUUGUUGCAGUUAGAACGCUCGUAGUCGGAUUUCGGGGCGGGCCGACCGGUCUGCCGAUGGGUACGCACUGGUCGGCGCGUCCUUCCUUCCGGAGACCGUGCCUACUCUUAACUGAGCGGGGGCGGGAGACGGAUCGUUUACUUUGAAAAAAUCAGAGUGUUUCAAGCAGGCAGCUCGCUCUUGCAUGGAUUAGCAUGGGAUAAUGAAAUAGGACUUUGGUGCUAUUUUGUUGGUUUCGAACACCGAAGUAAUGAUUAACAGGGACAGUCAGGGGCACUCGUAUUCCGCCGAGAGAGGUGAAAUUCUUAGACCAGCGGAAGACGAACUACUGCGAAAGCAUUUGCCAGGGAUGUUUNCACUGA
This 380-nucleotide ribosomal RNA is filed under the name uncultured eukaryote. Its description in RNAcentral is "partial 18S ribosomal RNA". It matches the Rfam family "Eukaryotic small subunit ribosomal RNA", at positions 592 to 976 of the family's 1831-position model. The record is from RNAcentral.